UUUCUUUGCCUUUAAUUAAAAUGUCUAUCUUUUUAUGUAAGUCUAAUAAUAACUCUAUUAUGGUAUUAUUUUGUUUUAAUAAAAUUUUAUCUGUUAUACUUGAAGGUAUAUGCUUAGAUAAUCCUUCUGGUUCGCUAUGAUAACUUCUUGAUUUUUCUAGUGCUUUACUAUAAUUUAUAUCUUCUUCACUCAUGAAAGUGAUAUUUCUUCUAAUCUUUUUGUUAUUUCUUGCAAAUCAUUGAUUUCUGUUGUUAUAUUUUCUACUUG
RNAcentral lists this long non-coding RNA (267 nucleotides) under Capsicum annuum. Its description in RNAcentral is "long non-coding RNA (CANN_LNC004992)". Lineage: Eukaryota; Viridiplantae; Streptophyta; Magnoliopsida; Solanales; Solanaceae. The record is from RNAcentral.